RNAcentral lists this ribosomal RNA (253 nucleotides) under uncultured bacterium. RNAcentral's name for it is "partial 16S ribosomal RNA". It matches the Rfam family "Bacterial small subunit ribosomal RNA", at positions 524 to 776 of the family's 1533-position model. The record is from RNAcentral.
UACGUAGGUGGCAAGCGUUGUCCGGAUUUACUGGGCGUAAAGAGCGCGCAGGCGGUCGUCCAAGUCGCGUGUGAAAGCCCCCGGCUCAACUGGGGAGGGUCACGCGAUACUGGUCGACUCGAAGGCAGGAGAGGGUAGUGGAAUUCCCGGUGUAGUGGUGAAAUGCGUAGAUAUCUGGAGGAAUACCGGUGGCGAAGGCGGCAUCCUGGACCGACAUUGACGCUGAGGAGCGAAAGCCAGGGGAGCAAACGGG